RNAcentral lists this ribosomal RNA (257 nucleotides) under uncultured bacterium. RNAcentral's name for it is "partial 16S ribosomal RNA". It matches the Rfam family "Bacterial small subunit ribosomal RNA", at positions 793 to 1055 of the family's 1533-position model. The record is from RNAcentral.
GUCCACACAGUAAACGAUGAAUACUCGCUGUUUGCGAUAUACAGUAAGCGGCCAAGCGAAAGCAUUAAGUAUUCCACCUGGGGAGUACGCCGGCAACGGUGAAACUCAAAGGAAUUGACGGGGGCCCGCACAAGCGGAGGAACAUGUGGUUUAAUUCGAUGAUACGCGAGGAACCUUACCCGGGCUUAAAUUGCAACAGAAUAUAUUGGAAACAGUAUAGCCGUAAGGCUGUUGUGAAGGUGCUGCAUGGUUGUCGU